UACGUAGGGUGCAAGCGUUGUCCGGAAUUAUUGGGCUUAAAGAGCUCGUAGGCGGUCUGUCGCGUCGGAUGUGAAAACUCGGGGCUCAACCCCGAGCCUGCAUUCGAUACGGGCAGACUAGAGUUCGGUAGGGGAGACUGGAAUUCCUGGUGUAGCGGUGAAAUGCGCAGAUAUCAGGAGGAACACCGGUGGCGAAGGCGGGUCUCUGGGCCGAUACUGACGCUGAGGAGCGAAAGCGUGGGGAGCGAACAGG
RNAcentral lists this ribosomal RNA (253 nucleotides) under uncultured bacterium. RNAcentral describes it as "partial 16S ribosomal RNA". It matches the Rfam family "Bacterial small subunit ribosomal RNA", at positions 524 to 776 of the family's 1533-position model. The record is from RNAcentral.